UACGUAGGGUGCGAGCGUUAAUCGGAAUUACUGGGCGUAAAGCGUGCGCAGGCGGUUAUACAAGACAGGCGUGAAAUCCCCGGGCUUAACCUGGGAAUGGCGCCUGUGACUGUAUAGCUAGAGUGUGUCAGAGGGGGGUAGAAUUCCACGUGUAGCAGUGAAAUGCGUAGAUAUGUAAAGGAAUACAAAUGGCGAAGGCAGCCCCCUGGGAUAACACUGACGCUCAUGCACGAAAGCGUGGGGAGCAAAC
Molecule: ribosomal RNA, 250 nt
Filed under: uncultured Polynucleobacter sp.
Lineage: Bacteria; Pseudomonadati; Pseudomonadota; Betaproteobacteria; Burkholderiales; Burkholderiaceae
Description: partial 16S ribosomal RNA
Rfam family: Bacterial small subunit ribosomal RNA
Source: RNAcentral